UUUUGUUAGUAUAAAUUAUUACAUUUAGCUUCCAACUAAAAAAUCCUUUUUGACAAAAUAA
Molecule: transfer RNA, 61 nt
Filed under: Rhinocola aceris
Lineage: Eukaryota; Metazoa; Arthropoda; Insecta; Hemiptera; Aphalaridae
Description: tRNA-Gly
Source: RNAcentral